GCCCUUGUAGUGUAGUCUGGCCAAUCAUGCUGCCCUCUCGAGGCGGCGACUCGGGUUCGAAUCCCGGCGGGGGCA
This 75-nucleotide transfer RNA is filed under the name Candidatus Woesearchaeota archaeon. Its description in RNAcentral is "tRNA-Glu". It matches the Rfam family "tRNA". Rfam says of the family: Transfer RNA (tRNA) molecules are approximately 80 nucleotides in length. The record is from RNAcentral. Lineage: Archaea; Nanobdellati; Candidatus Woesearchaeota.